This is a long non-coding RNA of Temnothorax curvispinosus, 1104 nucleotides long. RefSeq lists it as uncharacterized. NCBI's taxonomy places the organism in Eukaryota, Metazoa, Arthropoda, Insecta, Hymenoptera, Formicidae. The record is from RefSeq and is a predicted model, not a curated record. The transcript is spliced from 5 exons.
UCUUCUAUUCUGCUGUACGACGGAAGAGAUGCCUGCCGUGCGCUCAAGGCGUUAUCACGCACGUAUCGCGUGGAGGUGGGUGCUUAGAAAAUGGACGAGCUCAGGCAGGUGCUGGAGAUUGACAGGACAGAUUACGAGAUAAUCGGCCUGGCUUUAGAUACUCUGUGCAAUAUAACGAAUCCUGAAACAUUCAACGAAGAAGUCGAUAAACACGGCUCCAAGAACCAAAUAGGGGAACAGUUUACAGAAAUAUUCAUUAAGCACUCGGACAGUGUUGGUUUGUGGCUGACAUUUCUCAAGGAGUUUGACUUCCGUGUCAGGUGGCCAGCGCUGAAGCUACUGACGCAUUUGCUGGCGAAUAGAUCUAAAGAUAUUCAGGAAAUAAUUCUGGUCAGCCCUAUGUGUGUCUCUAAACUGAUGACUGAUGGAUUUGCUGAGUGACAACAGAGAAGUUAUACGCAAUGAUGUCUUGUUGCUGCUCAUUCAAUUGACAAAAGGCAAUGCUGACAUACAAAAGAUAGUGGCGUUUGAAAGUGCGUUUGAUCGCAUAUUUGAUGUUAUUGAGCAAGAGGGCCACGCAGAUGGUGGUAUUGUUGUGGAAGAUUGCCUCCUGUGCUGAUAUUAAAUUUUCUCAGGGGAAACGUCAGUGACCAAGACUUCUUUAAGAAAGGUAGCUAUAUUCAGAAAUUGACGCCAAUAUUCCAAAUUCUCAAUGAAACGAAGGAUAACAAUCUUGGUGGAUGGAGCCCACAGAAGGUGUCCAAUGUUCACUGCAUGGUGCGAGUUGUAGUACGAGCGCUAGUAGCAGCGAGUCCUCCUGCUCAGGCAGUCGCAGCUUGUCAACGAACUAUAAGAGCGUGCGGAUUAUUGCAAGCACUGUACGAUAUAUUGAUGGCUAACGGAGUUAUAAACUGCCAACUCCCGACUUCACCCCCUCCAUGGCAAAAACAUGAAGAAUACUUGAUCUAUUUAUAUAUGUCGUUGCUAUUUCCGAUAUAAUUUAUAACGUUAGCUAAACUUAUCACAAGAUGUAUUUAAUGUCGUUAGUCGUCUUCUCAUUAUUACAGUCUUUGGUUUGUAUCACGAAUUUUGUGUCGUUCUCGU